Long non-coding RNA from Otolemur garnettii (small-eared galago), 634 nucleotides. RefSeq lists it as uncharacterized. The record is from RefSeq and is a predicted model, not a curated record. NCBI's taxonomy places the organism in Eukaryota, Metazoa, Chordata, Mammalia, Primates, Galagidae. The transcript has 3 exons.
GCCACUUCCCAGAGAGCCUUCCUUGAUUUCCCCGGCGAGAGUCAGGCCAGGCCCAGGGGCAGUGACAGCACCGACCCACAGGGCUGCCUAUUUUACGUCUGUUCACCUGCUGGACUGAGGGUCCUGAGGUUGGGGCCCAUGUUCACCAUCGUACCCAGUGCCAGUGAGUACCAGGCGCCUGGUGGGCACUCAGAAAUACCAGCAGAACGCAUGAAGAGGGGAAUGAAAGUGUCAACUUCCACUGCCUGCACCCUGCAGUCUCAAUAGCCAGGACCUUACCUUCCUCUGGUAAGGUCCAGUCACUACCCUGGAGUUAUGGUCCCACCUUUUGGUCCAGAAUGGCAGCUGGAGCUCCAGCCAUCACGUCCAAGUUCCAGGCAGCACUAGGAGAAGAGCUGAAGAAGACCCUUGACAAUUCCACCUGUAUGGAUGGUGCCAGGUUUCCAGUACGACACCCCUGCCGGGAUGGACAUCAUCGAACCUGCCAUCCUUGCACUUGGUUGGAACAUUUCCACCCUGUAAGUUCCCAGAAGUAGGAAUGCUGAGUGCAAGCAGAGACUCUUGACAUUUGGACAUGAAUUGAGAAACUGCCUUUCAGGAAGCCAGCCCAGGCAGACUCCUCUCACCAUCUGUG